UACGUAGGGUGCGAGCGUUAAUCGGAAUUACUGGGCGUAAAGCGUGCGCAGGCGGCUUUGCAAGACAGAUGUGAAAUCCCCGGGCUCAACCUGGGAACUGCAUUUGUGACUGCAAGGCUAGAGUACGGCAGAGGGGGAUGGAAUUGCGCGUGUAGCAGUGAAAUGCGUAGAUAUGCGGAGGAACACCAAUGGCGAAGGCAA
This 201-nucleotide ribosomal RNA is filed under the name uncultured bacterium. RNAcentral describes it as "partial 16S ribosomal RNA". It matches the Rfam family "Bacterial small subunit ribosomal RNA", at positions 524 to 724 of the family's 1533-position model. The record is from RNAcentral.